UACGUAGGCAGCGAGCGUUGUUCGGAAUUACUGGGCGUAAAGAGUGUGUAGGCGGUGCUCCCAGUCUGUUGUGAAAUCUCCCGGCUUAACUGGGAGGGUGCAGCGGAAACUAGAGUGCUAGAGUGCAGUAGAGGCAAGCGGAAUUCCAGGUGUAGCGGUGAAAUGCGUAGAUAUCUGGAAGAACACCGGUGGCGCAAGCGGCUUGCUGGGCUGUAACUGACACUGAGGAACGAAAGCUAGGGUAGCGAAUGGG
This 253-nucleotide ribosomal RNA is filed under the name uncultured bacterium. Its description in RNAcentral is "partial 16S ribosomal RNA". It matches the Rfam family "Bacterial small subunit ribosomal RNA", at positions 524 to 776 of the family's 1533-position model. The record is from RNAcentral.